AUGUUCUCUACAUCUCUACUGCUCCUGCUGGCAGCUGCUUCUUAUGUGCAUGGUGAGGAACUGACUCAGCCUGCUUCCAUGACAGUCCAGCCAGGCCAGAGUCUCUCCAUCCAGUGCAAGGUUUCAUAUUCAGUUACAAGCUACAGUACACAUUGGAUUCGACAACCUGCAGGAAAAGCUCUGGAGUGGAUUGGACGCAUCAGCAGUGGAGGGGGUACAGCUUACAGUGAGAAACUGAAAAAUAAGUUCAGCAUCUCCAGAGACACUUCUACUAACACAAUAACAAUUGGAGGACAGAACAUGCAGACUGAAGACACAGCUGUGUAUUACUGCGCUCGUUAC
Tachysurus vachellii is the source of this 342-nucleotide non-coding RNA. Lineage: Eukaryota; Metazoa; Chordata; Actinopteri; Siluriformes; Bagridae. The record is from the annotation of a RefSeq genome assembly.